CCUACGGGAGGCUGCAGUAGGGAAUCUUCCACAAUGGGCGAAAGCCUGAUGGAGCAACGCCGCGUGGGUGAAGAAGGUCUUCGGAUCGUAAAAUCCUGUUGUAAGAGAAGAAAGUGCGUGAGAGUAACUGUUCACGAUUCGACGGUAUCUAACCAGAAAGCCACGGCUAACUACGUGCCAGCAGACGCGGUAAUGCGUAGGUGGCAAGCGUUAUCCGGAGUUAUGGGGCGAAAAGGGAACGCAGGGGGUCUUUUAAGUCUGUUGGGAAAGCUUUCGGCUUAACCGGAGUAGUGCAUUGGAAACUGGGAGACUUGAGUGCAGAAGAGGAGAGUGGAACUCCAUGUGUAGCGGUGAAAUGCGUAGAUAUAUGGAAGAACACCAGUGGCGAAAGCGGCUCUCUGGUCUGUAACUGACGCUGAGGUUCGAAAGCGUAGGUAGCAAACAGGAUUAGAUACCCUUGUAGUC
This 465-nucleotide ribosomal RNA is filed under the name uncultured bacterium. Its description in RNAcentral is "partial 16S ribosomal RNA". It matches the Rfam family "Bacterial small subunit ribosomal RNA", at positions 338 to 795 of the family's 1533-position model. The record is from RNAcentral.